This 431-nucleotide RNase P RNA is filed under the name Ignavibacterium sp. RNAcentral's name for it is "RNase P RNA component class A". It matches the Rfam family "Bacterial RNase P class A". Rfam says of the family: Ribonuclease P (RNase P) is a ubiquitous endoribonuclease, found in archaea, bacteria and eukarya as well as chloroplasts and mitochondria. Its best characterised activity is the generation of mature 5'-ends of tRNAs by cleaving the 5'-leader elements of precursor-tRNAs. Lineage: Bacteria; Pseudomonadati; Ignavibacteriota; Ignavibacteria; Ignavibacteriales; Ignavibacteriaceae. The record is from RNAcentral.
AACUCAAUCCGGGCAAUUGCCCCGAUAAUAUCGGGGAGGAAAGUCCGAACUUCUCAGAACAAGGUGCCGGGUAACCCCCGGGAGAUAAUGGAGUAAUUUAUUAUCGACUGAUAGUGCCACAGAAAAUAAACUACCUUGAAAUUUAUUUCAGGGAAAAGGUGAAAAGGCGAGGUAAAAGCUCACCGGCUUGAUAGUAAUAUCAAGUGCAUGGCAAACCACACCUGAAGCAAGGUCAAGUAUGAAAAUCUUUCCGCCUGUCUGCCGCAAGGUAGGACUGUCGGGGCAAAGUUGUUCGCUUUGAAUAAUACUUAAUUGUAUUAUGGAUUUUCGGGUGGACCGCUAAAGUCUGCUGGUAACAGCAGAACAAGACAAAUAAUUGCCGCCCCGACAAGUCGGGGUUACAGAAUUCGGCUUAUAGGAUUGAGCUUUUA